Molecule: long non-coding RNA, 1031 nt
Organism: Pseudomyrmex gracilis
Lineage: Eukaryota; Metazoa; Arthropoda; Insecta; Hymenoptera; Formicidae
Exons: 4
Source: RefSeq, a predicted model, not a curated record
GGACCACCGCAACCGCGUCGCGAACGCGGGAGGAUUCGGGCGGAGAUUUCGCGGGAACGAGAGAGCGCGCGCUUUUUUUUUUUACACGAAAGUCUUUUCCUUUGUUUAUAGCGCGAAAACAAAUAAAAUAGUAUCGACCGAGGAUUCUCCCCCUCGUGAGACUUUUCCUGCUGCGACAGGUGGCGCGGAUCGUUUUGUCUUGCGUGACAAUAAGAUACGACUUUCGAACUUGCGUCCUUUCGUUGUUUCGGUUCGGUGAAAAGCGCAAACGCGACGCGGAAAAUCUUUCAAUUGACCAAAAAUUGCGGUUCACUCGGAGCCCGAUUAAUGCCGACGCGUAUAAUAUGCAUUUCGCGCGCGCGUGCGUGUGUGUGUGUGUGUUUAUGCGCACACGAUUCUUCCCGAGUCAACAACUUUUCUCGAUCGGCCGAAGAAAGCGCCACGGAGGAAGAAAAGAGAGGAGAUAAUGCGGCGCCACUGCGGUCGGUAAACACACAAAUCCCGCUUCGAAUCUCGAGUGUUCACAACAAACGGAGGCCAUGAUCGACAAGAGACGUAAAGUUCGAACGUCAAACGACGAUGUUGCGAUCACAACGAGCAAUCCAAUCCUUUCGCGUACACAAGUCUGUACUGGUCUCGCGUGCGCAGCUGAAAAACCAAAGAGAACUUGGUUCGAAACCGGUUUCGAUCUGGAGCAGGUUCUGUCACAAACCGACAGCGGCCAUGUUCACCGCGCGUCAUGUCACCGGUAGAGUCGAACAGCUGUGGGACUUAUGAAAUCAUCGAUCGUUCCAGGUUUUGAAACACAUCAGGACAAUACAGAGCACUUAUUUUGCUAUAAUGCGCAUCUUGGCGAGAGGACAUUUUCCAGUAGUACAAGUCGAAAUAUUGAAGGAGCGCAAACAGAUAACUUGUUUUCAGAAGAAGAAGCCUACCUACACACGCGUACAAGAAUCUUACCUCGAGAGACGUUCAAAAACCUCCAUCCAGAAAUUGCGACAACAGUCGCAAGCAAAGACGUGCAGACGCGC